This 427-nucleotide ribosomal RNA is filed under the name uncultured bacterium. RNAcentral describes it as "bacterial SSU rRNA". It matches the Rfam family "Bacterial small subunit ribosomal RNA", at positions 917 to 1345 of the family's 1533-position model. The record is from RNAcentral.
GGGCCCGCACAAGCGGUGGAGUAUGUGGUUUAAUUCGAUGCAACGCGAAGAACCUUACCAGGGUUUGACAUCCUGCGAAUCUCUUGGAAACAGGAGAGUGCCUUCGGGAACGCAGUGACAGGUGGUGCAUGGCUGUCGUCAGCUCGUGUCGUGAGAUGUUGGGUUAAGUCCCGCAACGAGCGCAACCCACGUCUUUAGUUGCCAGCAUUUAGUUGGGCACUCUAGAGAGACUGCCGGUGAUAAACCGGAGGAAGGUGUGGAUGACGUCAAGUCAUCAUGCCCCUUACAUCCUGGGCUACACACGUACUACAAUGCUACGGACAAAGGGCAGCAAACUCGCGAGAGCUAGCAAAUCCCAUAAACCGUGGCUCAGUUCAGAUCGUAGGCUGCAACUCGCCUACGUGAAGGAGGAAUCGCUAGUAAUCGC